UGGAAGAUUUUCACAGGGACAAUGCGCUUGAGUUCCAUUUUUUUUUAUGGGUAAGACCUCUUGAAUAAAUUUGGGCCUUGAAAACUGGGCUUUUGCAUAUCCAUGUCUGGUGAAUAAGGCCUAUGAGAACACUGGGCUUUUGCUCUCAUAAUCACCGUCGCCCCUUCUCCCUCCCAAUUCCCUCCCGAUUCCUAAUCCGAUCUCUCAUGGCUUCUGCAGAGCCAACUCCUCCUCUCACGGCCACCGUUACCUUGCCGUCCACCAAACCAACUCCCCUCCUCCCCCCUCCCCCCUCCGCCGUUGCCGAAGCUUCCGCAACUUCUUCCUUUCCAGUUACUCCCUCCGUCGCCGCCGCCCCCUCCGAUGCCGAUUUGGUCCACAUCCCUAGCUACUCCCGUAAUUCAUCGCAUCUC
This 413-nucleotide long non-coding RNA is filed under the name Linum usitatissimum (flax). Its description in RNAcentral is "long non-coding RNA (LUSI_LNC001484)". The record is from RNAcentral. Lineage: Eukaryota; Viridiplantae; Streptophyta; Magnoliopsida; Malpighiales; Linaceae.